Molecule: long non-coding RNA, 676 nt
Organism: Apis dorsata (giant honeybee)
Lineage: Eukaryota; Metazoa; Arthropoda; Insecta; Hymenoptera; Apidae
Exons: 3
Source: RefSeq, a predicted model, not a curated record
UGAAUUAAUCGUCCGAUAUUUUUAAAUUAAAUAUAUAUUCUUCAAUUUUCGUUUAUUGAUUAAUUUUAACACCUGCUUUAUUUUAUCGCUGAAAAUUCAACCGUCCGUUAAAUAUUAUUUGCUUUUCUUUUUCUCACGAUUUCUUAACGCUCAAUACUUAUUCAAAAAUCUUGUGAAUUAUUCAUCAAGAGUAUUUAUUAUUUAAAUGAAUUUCCUUAUGGAAUUACGAAGAUUUUUGAUGACUGACGUGAAACAAGUCAGCAAAAUUCAAUAAAUACAUCGAACCUUGAAAAAAUCUCGCAUUAAUUCGAUCGAUCUUAGAAGGAAACGUAGCGGGCGGAAGCUAUACCUCGUUCGAGGUAAUCGACCAGUCGGAAGUAUGGCCCACCUCUGUACUCGUGAGGAGGAAUAAAGGGCAUUAAGUUGAGAUUGCAGAAGUCGGAGUGAUCGCAGCAGGCGAUCACGGAUACCAUGUCACCUGGACCGUGUAGCGUGCUAUUCGUUGUGCACCAGUACGAGUAAUCGGGCGCCGGGAAGAAACGCACCUUAUCGUAACACCUGAGAACAAUUUACAUGACUUCCGGACCAGAAUAUGCAUUUAUCCGUACCGCCGGGCUCAAAAAGAGGAAACCGUUUUUUUCCAUGGUCUAAUAAAGAAAAACAUGAUAUUUCAUUA